CGUAGGUGGUUGCGUCAGUCGGAUGUGAAAUCCCCAGGCUUAACCUGGGAACUGCAUCCGAUACUGCGUGACUCGAGUGCAGCAGAGGGAAACGGAAUUCCUGGUGUAGAGGUGAAAUUCGUAGAUAUCAGGAGGAACACCGGUGGCGAAGGCGGUUUCCUGGGCUGACACUGACACUGAGGCGCGAAAGCGUGGGUAGCAAACAGGAUUAGAUACCCUGGUAGUCCACGCUGUAAACGGUGAGUGCUGGGUGUGGGAGGUGUAAUGCCUUCUGUGCCGAAGCUAACGCGUUAAGCACUCCGCCUGGGGAGUACGGCCGCAAGGUUGAA
Molecule: ribosomal RNA, 329 nt
Filed under: uncultured bacterium
Lineage: Bacteria
Description: bacterial SSU rRNA
Rfam family: Bacterial small subunit ribosomal RNA
Source: RNAcentral